CCUACGGGUGGCAGCAGUGAGGAAUAUUGGUCAAUGGUCGGGAGACUGAACCAGCCAAGCCGCGUGAGGGAUGAAGGUACAGAGUAUCGUAAACCUCUUUUGUCAGGGAACAAAGGCGGGGACGCGUCCCCGGAUGAGUGUACCUGAAGAAAAAGCAUCGGCUAACUCCGUGCCAGCAGCCGCGGUAAUACGGAGGAUGCGAGCGUUAUCCGGCUUUAUUGGUGUACAGGGGUGCGCAGGCGGUCUGUUAGGUCAGCGGUCAACCCCCGGGGCACAACCCCGGCCCGCCGUUGAAACUGGCAGUCUCGAGUGGGAGAGAAGUAUGCGGAAUGCGCGGUGUAGCGGUGAAAUGCAUAGAUAUCGCGCAGAACUCCGAUUGCGAAGGCAGCUUGCCGGCUCCACACUGACGCUGAGGCACGAAAGCGUGGGUAUCGAACAGGAUUAGAUACCCCAGUAGUC
This 459-nucleotide ribosomal RNA is filed under the name uncultured bacterium. RNAcentral's name for it is "partial 16S ribosomal RNA". It matches the Rfam family "Bacterial small subunit ribosomal RNA", at positions 338 to 795 of the family's 1533-position model. The record is from RNAcentral.